CACGUAGUUAGCCGUGGCUUUCUGAUUAGGUACCGUCAAGAUGUGCACAGUUACUUACACAUUUGUUCUUCCCUAAUAACAGAGUUUUACGAGCCGAAACCCUUCAUCACUCACGCGGCGUUGCUCCGUCAGGCUUUCGCCCAUUGCGGAAGGUUCCCUACUGCUGCCUCCCGUAGGAGUCUGGACCGUGUCUCAGUUCCAGUGUGGCCGAUCACCCUCUCAGGUCGGCUACGUAUCGUCGCCUUGGUAAGCCGUUACCUUACCAACUAGCUAAUACGGCGCGGGUCCAUCUAUAAGUGAUAGCAAAACCAUCUUUCACUUUAGAACCAUGCGGUUCUAAAUGUUAUCCGGUAUUAGCUCCGGUUUCCCGAAGUUAUCCCAGUCUUAUAGGUAGGUUACCCACGUGUUACUCACCCGUCCGCCGCUAACUUCAAAGGAGCAAGCUCCUUAUCUGUUCGCUCGACUUGCAUGUAUUAGGCACGCCGCCAGCGUUCAUCCUGAGCCAGGAUCAAACUCU
Molecule: ribosomal RNA, 517 nt
Filed under: uncultured Staphylococcus sp.
Lineage: Bacteria; Bacillati; Bacillota; Bacilli; Caryophanales; Staphylococcaceae
Description: partial 16S ribosomal RNA
Source: RNAcentral